Long non-coding RNA from Cyprinus carpio (common carp), 2227 nucleotides. Lineage: Eukaryota; Metazoa; Chordata; Actinopteri; Cypriniformes; Cyprinidae. The record is from Ensembl.
UGGUAACAAGUUUCAGGAUACUGAUUUCAGUAAAACAUCUGGGUAACAAAACAGGUUUAUUCUGACUUAAUGACUAAAUCUCCUCUGUCAUGAUUUCAUUUGUCAAAACUUUUUUUACUUUUAAAUAUUUAAGUACAUUGGUAACAUUUUUACUUUCACUCACAUAUGCAUCUGGCUAGAUAGUUUGACCUUUUUUCUCAGAAUCCAUACUUUCACUUGAGCAGCAAAAUUAUUUAAAUAUAAAUUUUACACCGCUGAGGGCACUGAUGGUGUUUCAUUUGUCUAUGAAUUACGAUUCAACUGGAAGACUGCCCCACAGAGAACUGCUUUUCUUGUCUCAGAUUUUGUUUUGUUUUUAAUUCAGGCACCAGGAGAAAAGAGUGUUCUUGAUAAAGGAGAUAUCUGACUCCAGUCUCACUGUGAGCCACUAUGACAUCUCAUAAAAGUGUGUUUAUUAGAUUCUGCAUUUAUCAUUACAAGUGCUUUGCAUGAGUGUGAAGCUCAUAUGAAUGAUAAAGUUAUUCGGCCAAAGGCUUUACAGUAACAGUUGUUACUCCUCCUGUCCUGUGAAGGGUGCUAGAGUCACUUCAGUUAGCACAGCAACAUUAUGUGCUGCUGGGGGUUUGAUUUGGAAGGGGGAACUUUCACGCGCUCGUCUCUGUGCUGUUAUCGGUACCUGUAUUGUCUGUAUAUAUUGUUUAAAAUACAGAGACCUGAAGUAAAGUAGUAAAAUGACUGAACUGGAUCGUCUGAACACUUUCAUGACCGAGCGCUUGAUGGCUGCUGUGAAGGAGAUCAUCUUCACGGUCGGUAGAACGGUUCGGGAGUAUGAGGAGGAAACGGAGCGAAUCCGGAGCGAAAACAAGCGACUGAAAGAAAUGUUACGAGACUCCGGGUGCUUCAGGGAGCAAGCUAAUGCUGCUCCUGUGCAGUCCUAUCAGCCCGUCUCUCCUGGGCAGCCCGGAUGGAUCUGCAGCCAGAAUGAGGAGCUAGAACCCAUUGAAGAGAUCCAGCAGGACCAAAGCCAGAGGCUCGGCGAGCAACACCCGUUCAUAAAACCGGAAAAGCCUGAGUACUCUGUCGAUGCUUACAGGGAAUCCAUAGCUUUGCCAUCAAAAGCCACCAAUGAUGAGGGCUCACACAUGUGCGCUGAUCACACCAACACAAAUCCUGUUGAGGAUGAAAUGACAAACUGUCAUUUCUCAUCUAAAAUCAAAGUUGAAUUCAUGAACUCCAGCUUGUGUUCAGGCGAUGCAAUGGGAAGCACUGAAGAUGCAUAUCAGAGCUGGUCGCCACACAGCCCAGAUUUGCCUUUAGGGACAUCGGACAUCUACAGAGCACAGCACCCAAACCAGCCAACAUAUGCUAACAGCGAAGCACCUGCCACAGUGUCUCAGCAUAGCAGUUCAUCUCAUGAUGCCAAUCACGUUUCAUAUCACAACAUAUUAUGUACAAACAGGGCUUACUGUAGCAGUAAAUGCUGUGAAAUGCAAAAGAGGACAAUAGCAAAAUCAAGCCCUGUGUGGAAGUAUUUCUCUCUAAAAGAGGGGGACUGUAGCAAAGCAGUGUGCCUUAUGUGUAGGGCCGUCAUAUCUCGUGGUCGCAAAGAAUACACAACAUCGGCCCUUCUAAAGCACCUUCGGAUGAAACAUGGUAAAUGUUGAUGUUAUCAUUUGUUCUCUGAUUUUAUAUAUAUAUAUGUAUGUAUAUGUGCUGUAGUACGGUAUUUUCUGUUCAACUACUUCUAUGGUGCUGAAAUAACAGGAUAAAUAUGAGGAAAGCCAGACAUUAUCUUUGUGUUAUUCCUGCAGGAAAUGCGCUAAUCUUUGGCAGUGCUAAGAAGAGACGAAUGAAAGAGAUUACGAGAAAGACUGUGUGAAAACCACUAAAACACUCUCAGCCAGUGUGGACACUGGCCUUUGUGCAUCAUGGCCAACCUUUGAGUGUUUUCAAACAAAUUGAAAAAUCUACAUCAUACAGAGUGGGUUGAGAUAGGGCAGUCAGAAAUUUAUGCAUACAAUAAUCAUCCAAGCUUUUUGAUUAUGGUUACAGACGAAGAGUAGAAUUGUACUGUUUGGAAAAAAACAUCACAAUCUUUAGCUUGUAAGUGACUGGGGAAAGAAUUUCAUCAUUGUAUUGUCUAAAAAAAUAACAGGAUGUAAAAACUAGCUAGGGCACGAACAAUAUCAGAGAAAACUGUAAUAAAAAGAGAUUUAAUCAUUUUACA